RNAcentral lists this long non-coding RNA (1902 nucleotides) under Gopherus agassizii (Agassiz's desert tortoise). RNAcentral describes it as "lncRNA (ENSGAGG00000025314.1)". Lineage: Eukaryota; Metazoa; Chordata; Testudines; Testudinidae. The record is from RNAcentral.
AACAGCUUUACUUAGAAGUCAUGUAGCAAAAUACAAUGAUGAUGCAAUAGAAUAAAUUAGAAUACCUAUUGUAAUGUGACAAGUCAAUAGAUGGCAUAACAACAGUUCAGCUAAUGGUGGAGACUUAUAAACAUUAAAGUAAAUUUAACCACUACUCACUACAACCAAGGCUUAGCUUUAAAAACAACAUACACAAGCACAUUCAUCAUUAACAUUGUACAAACUCAAGCCCUUCCAGACUGUGCACCCCAUGGUUUUAAAAUACCAGACACUUUCUUGAGGCCUCGCCUCCCUUCCCAUGAAACUCCUCACACUCUUUUUGAGUUCCUUGAUUUUUUUCUCAGCCUUCUCUCUCCUCCAGCUUCCCUUAGCCAAUGCCUCAUCCUUCAGUCUCCCAGCCUGUCACUGUAGUCCCUGUAGUGUGUUAACUAGGAAUUCAGAUCUUGCCUAUGGUUAACUGGAUGUGCUCUAAGUUCCACACCUCAGACUCCCUACCCAGCAGACUCAUUCCCCCAAACCGCAUCUAUCAAUGGAGAGAAAACUAAGGACAGGAUUAACUAUAAAGCAAACUGGUUUAUUAAACAGUGACUCAAACAGGAAAAAGUAACUUAUAGGACCCUCAGCAAAACAACACACAAAUGGCAUACAGGUGCAACAAACUGACAUAAAGUCAAGGUCCCAAACUCAUGAGGACAAAGGGGAAUUUACUACAGAUAAGGUACAGAGGUACACAGCAUACUACACCAGGUUCAGAGGAAUGGACCCAUGACAGAGGACAUCACAGUUGGAAUACAUCAGGACAGCAAGAUGAGGACACAGGAGUUCAGGAUACAGGUAAGACAGGAAUCAGUCAGGAACUUACAGCUAGAACUAUGGAGUUUAGCUCUUCUUCUGUGGUCUUCUGUAGAUCCCUCAAAGUCUUGGCUAAGACAUGUACUGCGCUGCCACCAGGAAGGACAGCCUCUCCUCUCAGGAUGUAAGUUAUGUCCUUGGCUUUGUAUAUGGCAUGCGGUUUGUAAUAGAAGAAAGGAAGUAUUCUGCAGAAGAUAAUUCACAUAAGCACAAGAUCUUGGAUUACUUAGAAAAACAAACAUAAAACUAUGGAAACUGCAUACAAGUCUGGAGCAGGGAAGAGCACGGUAUGUUACAUUAGAACAGCAAAAGAAAAGGUGGAUUUAUUUUAAUUGUAUUUCUUUGGAUUUUGUUAGAGCCAGAGUUGGUGGUACCACCUAUAGUUAAGGUUUCAUAGAUUUUAAUGCCAGAAGGCACAAUUCAAUCAUCUUGUCUGACCUCCUAUAUAACACAAGCCAUAGAAUUUCACCCAGUACUCCCUGAAUUGAAAACAGUAGCUUGUAUUCGACUAAAGUGUAUCUUCCAGAGAGGCAUCUAGUCUUGACCUGAAAACAUCAAACGGUGGAGAAUCUAUCACUUCCUUGGUAGUUUGUUCCAAUGAUUAAUCACCCUCACUAUUACAAAUGUAUACCCUAUUUCUAAUGUGCCUGUCACUUUCCAUUAUAAGACCUUGUUUUCAGUUGCUUAAAACUUUGCCAAAUUAACAGUUUGAGCUAAAACUUUCCAUGCUGGGUGUCUGCCUAUGCUGAAUUUUUUGGGGGAAGUUUCAGCUAAAUGGGUUCGUUGCUCCUUAGAAUGAGGUUAGGAAAAAUGCGUCGUUUGCCCAUGUUAAAAAAAUUCUUACAACUGUUUUGUUGAGAAGCUCUAGCAUCUCCAUGAUUUGGGACAGAGACUUGAAAUGUGGCAGGAAGGUCACCCUGCUGUCAGGGAUGUGCCUUUUGCCAUGCCUGUGAAAAUUUGCCUAAAUUUAGCCAAGUUAUAAGCCACCCAAAAAACUCAGUUUGCACAUGCUUACUAGCCUCUUGUUACAGUUUGGCAGCUAAUUUCUCU